GAUCCCUCGGAGCUGUAUAACUCAAGAAACUCAGGUAUGAUGAAUGACUGGUUAUUAUUUUUCUGUCAAACCGUCAGAUUUGUUGUGAGCUUCGAAACUCCAUUUUCUCUUGUUCAGAUCGGUAUGCUUUCUUUAUUGAAGUUGUUCCUCAGCUUGUGAACUACAACAUAUCCAAAUUUGAGAUCCCUCGGAGCUGUAUAACUCAAGAAACUCAGGUAUGAUGAAUGACUGGUUAUUAUUUGUCUGUCAACCCAUCAGAUUUGUUGUGAGUUGCGAAACUCCAUUUUCUCUUGUUCAGAUCGGUAUGCUUUCUUCAUUGAAGUUGUUCAUCAUCGACUCUUUCAUAACAUAUCAAAAAUUCAGGAUGAACUAACGGUUAAAUAUUUCCAGAUCUUCGAAACAUCACAACAGCUUCGAAAUCUGCAAGAAGCCGACUAUCAUGUUUGGAGCUUCAACACUUUAAUUUCCGUCGCUCAAAAAGAAAUGGUUCCUUCUUGAAAGUUGUUCAUAUGCUCAAGAACUAUAGGGUGUCCAAAAUUCAGCUCC
This 546-nucleotide long non-coding RNA is filed under the name Malus domestica (apple). Its description in RNAcentral is "long non-coding RNA (MDOM_LNC020403)". Lineage: Eukaryota; Viridiplantae; Streptophyta; Magnoliopsida; Rosales; Rosaceae. The record is from RNAcentral.